RNAcentral lists this ribosomal RNA (723 nucleotides) under uncultured Bacteroidales bacterium. RNAcentral describes it as "bacterial SSU rRNA". It matches the Rfam family "Bacterial small subunit ribosomal RNA", at positions 66 to 776 of the family's 1533-position model. Lineage: Bacteria; Pseudomonadati; Bacteroidota; Bacteroidia; Bacteroidales. The record is from RNAcentral.
GGGGCAGCAUGGUCUUAGCUUGCUAAGGCUGAUGGCGACCGGCGCACGGGUGAGUAACACGUAUCCAACCUGCCGUCUACUCUUGGCCAGCCUUCUGAAAGGAAGAUUAAUCCAGGAUGGGAUCAUGAGUUCACAUGUCCGCAUGAUUAAAGGUAUUUUCCGGUAGACGAUGGGGAUGCGUUCCAUUAGAUAGUAGGCGGGGUAACGGCCCACCUAGUCAACGAUGGAUAGGGGUUCUGAGAGGAAGGUCCCCCACAUUGGAACUGAGACACGGUCCAAACUCCUACGGGAGGCAGCAGUGAGGAAUAUUGGUCAAUGGGCGAUGGCCUGAACCAGCCAAGUAGCGUGAAGGAUGACUGCCCUAUGGGUUGUAAACUUCUUUUAUAAAGGAAUAAAGUCGGGUAUGCAUACCCGUUUGCAUGUACUUUAUGAAUAAGGAUCGGCUAACUCCGUGCCAGCAGCCGCGGUAAUACGGAGGAUCCGAGCGUUAUCCGGAUUUAUUGGGUUUAAAGGGAGCGUAGAUGGAUGUUUAAGUCAGUUGUGAAAGUUUGCGGCUCAACCGUAAAAUUGCAGUUGAUACUGGAUGUCUUGAGUGCAGUUGAGGCAGGCGGAAUUCGUGGUGUAGCGGUGAAAUGCUUAGAUAUCACGAAGAACUCCGAUUGCGAAGGCAGCCUGCUAAGCUGCAACUGACAUUGAGGCUCGAAAGUGUGGGUAUCAAACAGG